AACCAUAGAAACCUGCGGAGUACCUGCGGAAGGAUCAUUACAGAGUUAUCCAACUCCCAAACCCAUGUGAACUUAUCUCUUUGUUGCCUCGGCGCAAGCUACCCGGGACCCCGCGCCCCGGGCGGCCCGCCGGCGGACAAACCAAAACUCUUGUUAUCUUAGUUGAUUCUCUGAGCGUCUUAUUUAAUAAGUCAAAACUUUCAGCAACGGAUCU
RNAcentral lists this unclassified non-coding RNA (214 nucleotides) under soil metagenome. RNAcentral's name for it is "partial contains 5.8S ribosomal RNA, internal transcribed spacer 2, and large subunit ribosomal RNA". The record is from RNAcentral.